Molecule: long non-coding RNA, 2659 nt
Filed under: Sus scrofa (pig)
Lineage: Eukaryota; Metazoa; Chordata; Mammalia; Artiodactyla; Suidae
Description: lncRNA (ENSSSCG00045029360.1)
Source: RNAcentral
GGUCCCUUCAUCCUGCAUCUUCUCCUCUCACUGGGGAGGGACACCAGGGCAGGGGAGGUGCACGCGUCACCCCAAGGAGAGGCAGAUGACACACCAGGUCACACCCCACGAGGGGGGUCCUCGCAGAGCCAAGCACGUGCGUGUGUGCCCGUUGGCCUCGCUACAAAGCUGGGCAGUUGUGACAGAGGCCGUAGGGCCCACGAAGCCCGAGACAUCGCCUCUCUGUGGACGCUUUCAGGAAAACCGGGCACAGCUGUGAGGUUCCUGUGGCCUAGAGACGAGAGCCCAGUCACUGGGCGUGGAGGACUCCCCGCCUCCAGGCCUGUGCUGGACCCCAGGACCCCACAUCUUCCCACCCCAUCCUGAUCCACUGCCCAGCGGAGAAGGGAGCAUCCUGGACGCAGAGGAGGGAAAGCCCUCGAAGGACGCAGUCUUCCUGGGCGGUCAGGCGGGGUUUCUGCUCCACGAACCACAGGCCUGGAGCCAACCACAGGCCAGGGGACCUGAAAGCAUCUUCUUGGAGCUCAGCCACUGAGACAGGCACUGACCAGGCUGGGGGACAGGGCUGGAAGGGCAGGAAGGCUCAGAGACCGUGGCUCCCUCUGGUUACAGGUGCCUCUGUCCAUUGCACAAGUGGACACAAUCGACGCCUGGGGCUCACAGGACCCCCUCCUAUGGCCCCUGCGGUGGGAAGAUCCUAGCUCGAGCCCGAGGCUCCCGCCAGCUCAAAUGGCCAGGAGGCACCAGGCUGGAAGGCACAGGCCCGGAAGUCCCUGCUCAUGUUCCAUCUUCUCACACGGAAACCAGAAGACCAAGGCUGCCCAGGCAGGAAAGCUGACACCAUGAGCUCUGCAGCCACACUGCAGGACCGCGGGCACCACUGCCGUUUCUCAAGCCUCUUCUUCAGGGGCUGCCCCACUUCGCUGGUCCUGCCCCACUUCGCUGGUCCUGCCCGUGCCUGGACCAUCCACACUGUCGCCCUUCAGCUUGGCCGGACCGGCCAGAACCGGUGCUGCUGCUGCUUGAGGUCCGGGAAACAAACACAAACCACAACACUGCAGGCUCAGAACCUCCUGAGGCCACAUCACUGGGGGAGAAGAGCCAGUCUGAGGGCCAGCAGCCUGUGCUGAGCGUUUUCAUUAUUGCCGAACAUAAAAAGCUAAAGGCAAGGAGACCAACGCAUUUCCCAAAGUGUCUGUAUUUUAAGCCGUGUUUUCUUUGUUAAAUGUGUAAAAACAUGGAGACGAGACAGGUGGAAUUCUGCAUUCAUGUGUCCGCGCAGAUGUGUGUGUGAGGUGGCACAGCCGUGUUCACGCGUGUGGCAACACUGGCAUUUACACAGGGGGAAACGCAGGCUGUGAUCAGCCCUCCCCCACCACACACACAGUGCAUCAAACCCAGAGGCCCCAGGACCACCGCCGUGGUAAGAGAAAUGGCACUUCCGGUCCCUCGGGCCCACCUGACCUUUGAACGGGCUUCAGGGGCUGGUAGGUGGUCCCUCCCUCUGGGCCAGGCCCGUGUCCACCACGUGGCCGUGAUGGUGAUGACCCUUCACCGACGCCAGCAGGUGGGCAGCCCCCUCGUGGCUCGGAGCCGCAGGCUGGGCACCCCUGGCUUCGCAUUCAGGAGAUUCUGGACACUCCAAAGCCGCCCACGGACUGGCACGGAGUCGCUGGGAGAGGGUGACUGCCAGACACACAGUCACGGCCUCUCAGACACGCAGGAGCAUCCGUGCUGGGGGGUGGGGGGGGUGGUCGACCAGAUGCCCAGCUGACCCCCCAGCCCUACCUCCAGUUUCCAGUGCUCCCUGAAAAUUCAGGCCCUGCACAUCCACGGUGGGGCUUUCUGACCCUCAGCCAAGGGGUGAACCAGACGGAAGACAGGCGCAUCUCAAGUUUCGUAAACACUCAAUGUCGAGACCCUUCUGAGAUGCCGAUGACAACGCCGUGCUUGGAAUCUUGGAAUUAUCCUCUACCGAAAUGCCACCGUUUGUGUGGUGCCACCCUCCUCUCCUGCCACGUGACCCCUGCACCCAGAGGCGGCAUGGGCGGGCCCCCACCCAGCGUGGCCAAUGUCUGGGCCGCACUGGGCUUAGAUGAGCUGCUGUCCCCUCCACAUCACCUCCCGCUCCCGCCGGGGUGGGAGGAGGAGACGUGCGUCAUUACUCGGCAGCAGUGCCCCUGGGUCAUGAUGGCAUCUGUUCGUUCGCCUCAGAGCAGUGGAGAGGCCACCGGUUUGGUGACCAGGACAGCCCGAAACAGUGUGUGAGCUGCCAGCACCGAGCAGGACACACACCCUGGCACUGUGGCCGUGCCCUCACAGAGGCCUCCCGCACGGCUGGUGACAAGUCCUCACACCCCUGCAAUUAUCCCUUCACACCCCGAUUUCCAUGGGAACGAAGGGGUGCCCUUGGGAGGCCGCCUGUCACGCCGUAGGCAGCAUUUGCCACACAGUCUGGGGAGCAAUGGGAACAGACUUCAAAAGGGACGCGGAGGGGCGAGAGUCAGACGAGAGCUGUCGGGGGGUCUGGGGGGAGUUCCGUGAGCCCUGCUGAACCUGCCCCAUGAAACGUGCUCACGCACGUGCUCACAGACACACAAUCACACGCACCCACAUGCACAUGGGCACAACGCACACAAGGCCACACAGGCGGCUGGGU